GCAACCAUUGCCCUUUCCAUUAAUUUCAAAACCUUUCUUUAACAACAAAGAAAUGGAAAUUACAUUUCUAAUAAUUUUGGGCAUAUAAUAACAAUCUUCUAAUUGUAGGAGCUUUUCCAAAGGCAAUUCCAAGUUGUAGGUUCCAACAGCUUCAGCCUGGAUGGACCCUCCUCCAGCGCCAUACAGCUCGAAAUCACCUUUCUUCAAAAUUUUAAUUUUCUGUAGUCCAUGCAAAGAUUUGCAAAUGUGAAAACCACAGAAUUUGAAUUUGAAGAACUUAAUGACAAGUUGGCAUGUAACAUAAACAUACCUUUUGAUGCAACUCUUGCAUCGGUCUUCAUACUUGCAAGAAAACUCUUGCAAUUCCUUUUCCAGUGGCCAGCUUUGCCGCAAUGAAAACAGGUACUUGAUCCGGAGUUUUUCUUUCCUUUUUUCCUUUUGAUGCUACUCUUGGGGUUCAAUCGUUUCUUAGAACCCUUAUUUCCCA
This 487-nucleotide long non-coding RNA is filed under the name Phoenix dactylifera (date palm). Its description in RNAcentral is "long non-coding RNA (PDAC_LNC019420)". Lineage: Eukaryota; Viridiplantae; Streptophyta; Magnoliopsida; Arecales; Arecaceae. The record is from RNAcentral.